AAAGGUAUAGCUCAGUGGUAGAACACAUGCUUAGCAUGCACAAGGUCCUGGGUUCAAACCCCAGUACCUCCA
Molecule: transfer RNA, 72 nt
Filed under: Camelus bactrianus (Bactrian camel)
Lineage: Eukaryota; Metazoa; Chordata; Mammalia; Artiodactyla; Camelidae
Also listed under: 2 other names
Rfam family: tRNA
About the family: Transfer RNA (tRNA) molecules are approximately 80 nucleotides in length. Their secondary structure includes four short double-helical elements and three loops (D, anti-codon, and T loops). Further hydrogen bonds mediate the characteristic L-shaped molecular structure. tRNAs have two regions of fundamental functional importance: the anti-codon, which is responsible for specific mRNA codon recognition, and the 3' end, to which the tRNAs corresponding amino acid is attached (by aminoacyl-tRNA synthetases). tRNAs cope with the degeneracy of the genetic code in two manners: having more than one tRNA (with a specific anti-codon) for a particular amino acid; and 'wobble' base-pairing, i.e. permitting non-standard base-pairing at the 3rd anti-codon position.
Source: Rfam by way of RNAcentral